CACAAAUCUUUCUACAGCGUUGUUGGCAGGGCGGCCAGAGCGAUUUUUGACGCUCUUGACGGCGGCGGUGUAAAUGAGAUUUAUGUACUG
Long non-coding RNA from Sinocyclocheilus grahami, 90 nucleotides. RefSeq lists it as uncharacterized. The record is from RefSeq and is a predicted model, not a curated record. Lineage: Eukaryota; Metazoa; Chordata; Actinopteri; Cypriniformes; Cyprinidae. The transcript is spliced from 3 exons.